AGGGUUUGAUCAUGGCUCAGAUUGAACGCUGGCGGCAGGCCUAACACAUGCAAGUCGAGCGGUAACAGGAGAAAGCUUGCUUUCUUGCUGACGAGCGGCGGACGGGUGAGUAAUGUAUGGGGAUCUGCCCGAUAGAGGGGGAUAACUACUGGAAACGGUGGCUAAUACCGCAUAAUGUCUACGGACCAAAGCAGGGGCUCUUCGGACCUUGCACUAUCGGAUGAACCCAUAUGGGAUUAGCUAGUAGGUGGGGUAAAGGCUCACCUAGGCGACGAUCUCUAGCUGGUCUGAGAGGAUGAUCAGCCACACUGGGACUGAGACACGGCCCAGACUCCUACGGGAGGCAGCAGUGGAGAAUAUUGCACAAUGGGCGCAAGCCUGAUGCAGCCAUGCCGCGUGUAUGAAGAAGGCCUUAGGGUUGUAAAGUACUUUCAGCGGGGAGGAAGGUGAUAAGGUUAAUACCCUUAUCAAUUGACGUUACCCGCA
This 486-nucleotide ribosomal RNA is filed under the name uncultured bacterium. Its description in RNAcentral is "bacterial SSU rRNA". It matches the Rfam family "Bacterial small subunit ribosomal RNA", at positions 8 to 483 of the family's 1533-position model. The record is from RNAcentral.